This 489-nucleotide ribosomal RNA is filed under the name Clostridium perfringens. Its description in RNAcentral is "bacterial SSU rRNA". It matches the Rfam family "Bacterial small subunit ribosomal RNA", at positions 1 to 503 of the family's 1533-position model. The record is from RNAcentral. Lineage: Bacteria; Bacillati; Bacillota; Clostridia; Eubacteriales; Clostridiaceae.
UUUAAAUUGAGAGUUUGAUCCUGGCUCAGGAUGAACGCUGGCGGCGUGCUUAACACAUGCAAGUCGAGCGAUGAAGUUUCCUUCGGGAAACGGAUUAGCGGCGGACGGGUGAGUAACACGUGGGUAACCUGCCUCAUAGAGUGGAAUAGCCUUCCGAAAGGAAGAUUAAUACCGUAUAACGUUGAAAGAUGGCAUCAUCAUUCAACCAAAGGAGUAAUCCGCUAUGAGAUGGACCCGCGGCGCAUUAGCUAGUUGGUGGGGUAACGGCCUACCAAGGCGACGAUGCGUAGCCGACCUGAGAGGGUGAUCGGCCACAUUGGGACUGAGACACGGCCCAGACUCCUACGGGAGGCAGCAGUGGGGAAUAUUGCACAAUGGGGGAAACCCUGAUGCAGCAACGCCGCGUGAGUGAUGAAGGUUUUCGGAUCGUAAAGCUCUGUCUUUGGGGAAGAUAAUGACGGUACCCAAGGAGGAAGCCACGGCUAACUA